Molecule: ribosomal RNA, 369 nt
Filed under: uncultured organism
Description: bacterial SSU rRNA
Rfam family: Bacterial small subunit ribosomal RNA
Source: RNAcentral
CGUAGGUGGCAAGCGUUGUCCGGAUUUAUUGGGUUUAAAGGGUGCGUAGGCGGCCCUGUAAGUCAGUGCUGAAAUAUCCCGGCUUAACCGGGAGGGUGGCAUUGAUACUGCAGGGCUUGAGUAAAGUUGAGGUUGGCGGAAUUGACGGUGUAGCGGUGAAAUGCUUAGAUAUCGUCAAGAACGCCGAUAGUGAAGACAGCUAACUAAGCUUUAACUGACGCUGAGGCACGAAAGUGUGGGGAUCAAACAGGAUUAGAUACCCUGGUAGUCCACACUGUAAACGUUGAUUACUCGAUGUUGGCGAUACACAGUCAGCGUCUUAGCGCAAGCGAUAAGUAAUCCACCUCGGGGAGUACGCCGGCAACGGUG